Molecule: ribosomal RNA, 1114 nt
Filed under: Edwardsiella tarda
Lineage: Bacteria; Pseudomonadati; Pseudomonadota; Gammaproteobacteria; Enterobacterales; Hafniaceae
Description: bacterial SSU rRNA
Rfam family: Bacterial small subunit ribosomal RNA
Source: RNAcentral
UGCUUUCUCCGCUGACGAGCGGCGGAACGGGUGAGUAAUGUCUGGGGAUCUGCCUGAUGGAGGGGGAUAACUACUGGAAACGGUAGCUAAUACCGCAUAACGUCGCAAGACCAAAGUGGGGGACCUUCGGGCCUCAUGCCAUCAGAUGAACCCAGAUGGGAUUAGCUAGUAGGUGAGGUAAUGGCUCACCUAGGCGACGAUCCCUAGCUGGUCUGAGAGGAUGACCAGCCACACUGGAACUGAGACACGGUCCAGACUCCUACGGGAGGCAGCAGUGGGGAAUAUUGCACAAUGGGCGCAAGCCUGAUGCAGCCAUGCCGCGUGUAUGAAGAAGGCCUUCGGGUUGUAAAGUACUUUCAGUAGGGAGGAAGGUGUGCGUGUUAAUAGCACGUGCAAUUGACGUUACCUACAGAAGAAGCACCGGCUAACUCCGUGCCAGCAGCCGCGGUAAUACGGAGGGUGCAAGCGUUAAUCGGAAUUACUGGGCGUAAAGCGCACGCAGGCGGUUUGUUAAGUUGGAUGUGAAAUCCCCGGGCUUAACCUGGGAACUGCAUCCAAGACUGGCAAGCUAGAGUCUCGUAGAGGGAGGUAGAAUUCCAGGUGUAGCGGUGAAAUGCGUAGAGAUCUGGAGGAAUACCGGUGGCGAAGGCGGCCUCCUGGACGAAGACUGACGCUCAGGUGCGAAAGCGUGGGGAGCAAACAGGAUUAGAUACCCUGGUAGUCCACGCUGUAAACGAUGUCGAUUUGGAGGUUGUGCCCUUGAGGCGUGGCUUCCGAAGCUAACGCGUUAAAUCGACCGCCUGGGGAGUACGGCCGCAAGGUUAAAACUCAAAUGAAUUGACGGGGGCCCGCACAAGCGGUGGAGCAUGUGGUUUAAUUCGAUGCAACGCGAAGAACCUUACCUACUCUUGACAUCCAGCGAAUCCUGUAGAGAUACGGGAGUGCCUUCGGGAACGCUGAGACAGGUGCUGCAUGGCUGUCGUCAGCUCGUGUUGUGAAAUGUUGGGUUAAGUCCCGCAACGAGCGCAACCCUUAUCCUUUGUUGCCAGCGGUUCGGCCGGGAACUCAAAGGAGACUGCCAGUGAUAAACUGGAGGAAGGUGGGGAUGACGUCA